Long non-coding RNA from Gadus morhua (Atlantic cod), 1100 nucleotides. The record is from Ensembl. NCBI's taxonomy places the organism in Eukaryota, Metazoa, Chordata, Actinopteri, Gadiformes, Gadidae.
GUACAUAUUUGUAUAUAAUAGUCAAAUAUAACCUUAAUAGCAACAUUAAGGUUAUACAGCUUUUUUUUAAAUAACUUAAGCACAUCGUAUUUUAAGCAAGUGUGUGAGUUUUUAAAUAUUAAGUUUAAGCUUGUAUUAAGUUAGUAAACGUACAAGUUAAAGGGACACUGUGUAGAAAUUACUCCCAUCUAGUGGUAAAAUUGUAUAUUGCAUUCAAACUAAUAGUGCUCGCUUGUUCAGAAACUACGGUGGGCAGUAUGUGCCAAGAAGCUGUGUCAUGACAUCCAAUACUACCUCAUCGAGUCAUUCGAGUGAUGUUCAUAGACCGGAAGAACAUGGAAGCCUCCAUGAAGCUUACCCGUCCUAUGUUGACAGAAGGGGACGCAGGCGAAGACAGAGGGAGAUGAAGACAGAUGGAGACGGAAGCCAGCCAGCUCCAUCUACAGGCCAGGCUGUUGUACAAAGUUGUAUAAAGUAGAAGUAGAAAACAUACGUUUUAGGAAAGUUUUAGGAAAGAACAUCAUAUUUCAAAUGACCGAGCCUUAUUUUACUGAAGGGGAGAAGAUGGAAGGUGCUGUGGACAGACGGAGAUGAAGACACAGAGAGGCGAGCACGAAGACAGACGAGGAAGAAGACAAUGGGAGACGAAGACACACGUGGAUGAAGGAACAGAGCGAAGAAGGCGAGGAAGAAGAUAGACAGAGACAAAGACUGACAGAGACGAAGACAGACAAAGACGAAGACAGACGGAGAUGAAGACAGACGAAGACGAAGAGUGAGUGAGACAAAGACUGAGAGAGAGGAAGACAGACGAAGACGAAGACAGAGAGAGACGAAGACAGUUGGGGAGUGAUGAAGAAGGCAUAGCAAGAUGACCUGACUCUGUUCCUUCUCUCUACCUCUAUAAGGCUCAGAAGAGGGGGAGCAGUGUAGAGGAAGAGGAGUGGAGGGACAUGGUCCAGACCUCCAUACCACAGCUGUACCCCAGCACCUGGUCCUACUACUGCUUCUGACAGAUCAUCCCCACAUCGUUAACUGCCCUUAACACCAUGUCUAACUCAUUCACACCCUACUCUGUUUCCAAUAAAAUAUGAAAUAUG